This is a long non-coding RNA of Brassica rapa (field mustard), 1028 nucleotides long. RefSeq lists it as uncharacterized. The record is from RefSeq and is a predicted model, not a curated record. NCBI's taxonomy places the organism in Eukaryota, Viridiplantae, Streptophyta, Magnoliopsida, Brassicales, Brassicaceae.
CGGGUUUUGUGAACACGUGUCAUUAUCUCAUCCCUUUCUCUCUCUACCAAAGCAUUCUCUCUCUUUCUUUUGUGUCUCCUCGGCGACUCCGACUCCAUCUGCUGAUCUCUCCUCCACGAUGACCCAUCAGCGACGACUCUGACUCCAUCAACCGGCGACUCCGACGAUGACCUCUCCGCGACGACUCCGACGCCAUCAGCCGACUCAGAGACUCACUUCUCGUCAACCUCACGUUUUCCUCCGCCGCGUCUUCUUCGCACACAGAUUAAAACGAGGCUAGCAGCCGAUAAAAGAGAAAGAAGUUAAAGAGAAAAAGGAGAAGAACGUGAGAUGGAGAAAGGUGAACUAGAGAAGAAGGAAACAAAGGUGGAGAAGAAGUACACAGUUUGAGAUGGGGUUUCGAAAAAGAGAUCCGGAUCAGAUAUGAGUUUGGGAGAUCACAUAUGGAGUUUCUCUUAAUAGAGGACGUGGCAGGGAAGCCAUAGAAACUGACGUCUCUGUCAUUGGAGUAACGACUUCGUUGUGGUGUGCCUUGCUUCCUACGCAAGCAUCAGAAGUAGCAGCUCAAAUCUGGGAGGUUCAACUGUUCUGUUGCAGCAAAUUCAAGAGAGCGUGGGAGGUUCAUUUGUAUGCUGAUCUGACUGAAACUUUGUACAGAUGUAGGGGACACUGCAGACUCAGAAUUCAACGGUGUGAUCGAAAAGUGGACGGUUAGUUUAUUAGUUAUUCAUGUAUUUCUGAACAGGUUUGGUACAUUGUGAAACAGAGUGGUAUGUUGAUGGAUCGUCUUGUUUGGUUGGGAAAAUGAGCUCGGACUGAGCUCAUAUUUGGCAGGAACCUUAUGGACUCGUGGCUUAGAUCUGAUUGUUAGUUAGGAAUUCUAUGAUUAUAUGGUGAAGGUUGCAAAGUGUGUUACACUUAAUAAGGUUAACUUUACUUGCUAUCUCCUUGGAUUUGUUAUUAGUGAAAUUGUUAUAGGGAACAUUGUUUUGAAGAUGGUUAAGCUUUCUUAUUUGUUUGUCCAGUUU